Molecule: long non-coding RNA, 284 nt
Filed under: Nicotiana tabacum (common tobacco)
Lineage: Eukaryota; Viridiplantae; Streptophyta; Magnoliopsida; Solanales; Solanaceae
Description: long non-coding RNA (NTAB_LNC018506)
Source: RNAcentral
UAAUUAAUUUUAAGAAUCUAAAUCUAUGUGUUUAUUUACUACCUUAGUUCAUAUGACUUGAGUCUAUUCUUGCUUCUGUUUACUGCUUACCUAGCAUGCCAAGUACUGCCUAUUCAAAUCCGUGAUUAGCAUGUUUCCACUUUACUUGCUUGUCUGCUAUAUUGAUUAACAUGUCUACAUAUGUAGCUAGCCUGUUUGACUGACUGUUGUUUAUCUAGCAUGCCUAAACUUUGCUUUUUUGUAACUAGUAUGCCUACACUUGUUAAUAUUUUCCUAGCACGUCC